RNAcentral lists this ribosomal RNA (508 nucleotides) under uncultured bacterium. Its description in RNAcentral is "partial 16S ribosomal RNA". It matches the Rfam family "Bacterial small subunit ribosomal RNA", at positions 30 to 523 of the family's 1533-position model. The record is from RNAcentral.
AUUGAACGCUGGCGGCAUGCCUUACACAUGCAAGUCGAACGGCAGCGGGGGAGAAGCUUGCUUUUCCUGCCGGCGAGUGGCGAACGGGUGAGUAAUACAUCGGAACGUGCCCUGUAGUGGGGGAUCACUAGUCGAAAGAUUAGCUAAUACCGCAUACGACCUGAGGGUGAAAGUGGGGGACCGCAAGGCCUCCUGGUAUAGGAGCGGCCGAUGUCUGAUUAGCUAGUUGGUGGGGUAAAGGCCUACCAAGGCGACGAUCAGUAGCUGGUCUGAGAGGACGAUCAGCCACACUGGGACUGAGACACGGCCCAGACUCCUACGGGAGGCAGCAGUGGGGAAUUUUGGACAAUGGGCGAAAGCCUGAUCCAGCAAUGCCGCGUGUGUGAAGAAGGCCUUCGGGUUGUAAAGCACUUUUGUCCGGAAAGAAAUGGCUCUGGUUAAUACCUGGGGUCGAUGACGGUACCGGAAGAAUAAGGACCGGCUAACUACGUGCCAGCCGCCGCAGUAA